RNAcentral lists this ribosomal RNA (511 nucleotides) under Anaplasma bovis. Its description in RNAcentral is "bacterial SSU rRNA". It matches the Rfam family "Bacterial small subunit ribosomal RNA", at positions 90 to 636 of the family's 1533-position model. Lineage: Bacteria; Pseudomonadati; Pseudomonadota; Alphaproteobacteria; Rickettsiales; Anaplasmataceae. The record is from RNAcentral.
AAUUAGUGGCAGAAGGGUGAGUAAUGCAUAGGAAUCUACCUAGUAGUAUAGGAUAGCCACUAGAAGUGGUGGGUAAUACUGUAUAAUCCCUGCGGGGGAAAGAUUUAUCGCUACAUGAUGAGCCUAUGUUAGAUUAGCUAGUUGGUGGGGUAAUGGCCUACCAAGGCAGUGAUCUAUAGCUGGUCUGAGAGGAUGAUCAGCCACACUGGAACUGAGACACGGUCCAGACUCCUACGGGAGGCAGCAGUGGGGAAUAUUGGACAAUGGGCGCAAGCCUGAUCCAGCUAUGCCGCGUGAGUGAGGAAGGCCUUAGGGUUGUAAAACUCUUUCAGUGGGGAAGAUAAUGACGGUACCCACAGAAGAAGUCCCGGCAAACUCCGUGCCAGCAGCCGCGGUAAUACGGAGGGGGCAAGCGUUGUUCGGAAUUAUUGGGCGUAAAGGGCAUGUAGGUGGUUUGGUAAGUUAAAGGUGAAAUGCCAGGGCUUAACCCUGGAGCUGCUUUUAAUACUGC